ACUACGGGAGGCAGCAGUGGGGAAUAUUGGGCAAUGGGCGCAAGCCUGACCCAGCAACGCCGCGUGAAGGAAGAAGGCUCUCUGGUUGUUAACUUCUUUUAAGAUGGAAGUGCAGAAGACGGUACCUCUUGAAUUGUCUCCGUCUUACUACUUGCCAGCAGCCGCGGUAAUACGUAGGGAGCGAGCUUUUUCCGGAUUUACUGGGUGUAAAGGGCGUACAGCCGGGAGUACAAGUCAGAUGUGAAAUCCUGCGGCUCAACCGCGGAACUGCAUUUGAGACUGGAUUUCUUGAGUACUGGAGAGGCAGACGGAAUUCCUGGUGUAGCGGUGAAAUGCGUAGAUAUUAGGAGGAACACCAGUGGCGAAGGCGGUCUGCUGGACAGCAACUGACGGUGAGGCGCGAAAGCGUGGGGAGCAAACAGGAUUAGAUACCCCAGUAGUC
RNAcentral lists this ribosomal RNA (442 nucleotides) under uncultured bacterium. Its description in RNAcentral is "partial 16S ribosomal RNA". It matches the Rfam family "Bacterial small subunit ribosomal RNA", at positions 338 to 795 of the family's 1533-position model. The record is from RNAcentral.